CACCCCCCCAUCUCUCUUCAACCUGUCCGCCCUCCCUCCCUUCUCACAGCUAUAUAAACAGUAGGAAGGGUGAGUGGAGCCCUGUGCUGUCCCCUGGUGGUGUCUGUCUACCGCCUCCCCUCCUUCUUUCACCACCACCUCCACUCCCCCACCAAUGCUUUAUUAAUCAGUGGGGGGAAGGGGUGAUGGAGGUGGUGGUGGUGGGCAGUGAAGAACCCUGUCCAUUGUUGCUUGAUCUUGUAGAAAAAGCAGCUAAAUCACUUUAAAAAAGGAAGGACGUGGGCUUAUAUAGUCCAAGAUACACAAUGUCUGGACGAAGGAAAAAAAAGCAAGUGAUGGAGUGAUGGUCAUGGCCAGAACGCCUUUUGAUCAUACCAUAUGUUCAAUUAUAAAUGACCUAAAAUUAAACAACAAGCUGAUCCUUUUUAUGCUCCUUUGAUCCCUUUCUUGUUAGCUGUGGGGAGUUGGAAGUGAACAGGGCCUAGAAUAGAGGCAGGUGUAUAUGGGUCGAAGGGGGUGAAGUGUGGGCCCAAGGAACCCUGUUCCUGUGUUUAUUUGCAGGUUCUUUGACCCUUUUUCCUAUCCCAUAUCACAUAUGAUACACAUUAACAAUUCUUUUAGGGUUUUUUUUGCAACCACCAGAGUAACUUGGCCCUUAUGAAAGGAAAGCUUUAUAUUACCCAGAAUGGAUGAAAAAAGGGGUUAAUUUAACUAAAAGUCUGGAAACAAGCAUGGAAAAACUUAUAAAAAAGGGGUCAAAUGAAUACCAGUCAUGUGCUGGGGGAAGGAAAGGAGUCAAUUUGAUUAUACACACUCAACCCCCUUCAAAAUUUGUGGUCCUUGUCCUUGAAAAUAUUUCGUUGCGUUCCCUUCACAUUCCCUCACCAAAUCCUGUUGAACCCUAGGUCAACCCCUUGAUUAAGUAGACCUACUAUCAUACAUUUCAGUUAUGAUGGGUGUAUCUUUGCUUUUGAAAGAGGUAUAAGUGUAUUGAGGACUACAAGAUCCGAUGUGUCCUUUCUCUUUUUUUUUUUAAGAUAAUGGGGGAGUCAUUUAAGGGACAUUUAGCUACUUUUGCUUGCAGACCACAUUGUGACUCCCUUGUUGCUAGCUUGCUUAACCCCAGGUCAUGUCUGAUCCACUAGACCCAGUCAUAGAUAGGACUGCCUUUUCAUCAGACAUAGUGUAUCUAUGUCCUUCCUUUUUAAAAA
Octopus sinensis (East Asian common octopus) is the source of this 1211-nucleotide long non-coding RNA. RefSeq lists it as uncharacterized. The transcript is spliced from 2 exons. NCBI's taxonomy places the organism in Eukaryota, Metazoa, Mollusca, Cephalopoda, Octopoda, Octopodidae. The record is from RefSeq and is a predicted model, not a curated record.